CUCAGAGAUUUUGUUUUUUCUGGUUAACACUUUUUCUGGUUUCGGUUAUUUGCUUUUGUUUUAACAUUUUUUUUGCGUCUGUUUCAAUAUAUUUUUUUGAUUGUUGAAUAAUGAAAUUUGAAAGGUUCAAGACUGCCUAAGCAACAAUAACAUCAACAUCAACAUCAUCAAAAUUGCGAUCAAAAACCUAAACCCAAAUUAAAGGUAAGAUUUAUGUUGGUAACAAACAUGUGCUUCGAUCAACAAUUUCAAUUCACAUUCCCAGCUAUUAUUGAAUAACAUGUUAAAAUGUAUCUUUUAUGUGAAAUUUAUUGUUAAAUUAAACUGAUUGUUGCUAUUGA
Tetranychus urticae (two-spotted spider mite) is the source of this 341-nucleotide non-coding RNA. Lineage: Eukaryota; Metazoa; Arthropoda; Arachnida; Trombidiformes; Tetranychidae. The record is from RefSeq and is a predicted model, not a curated record.